GUCGGUGUGGCGGAAUUGGCAGGCGCGCACGACUCAAAAUCGUGUUCUUCCGAGUGUACGUACCGGUCCGACCUCGGUCACCGAUA
RNAcentral lists this transfer RNA (86 nucleotides) under Aureibacillus halotolerans. Its description in RNAcentral is "tRNA-Leu". The record is from RNAcentral. Lineage: Bacteria; Bacillati; Bacillota; Bacilli; Caryophanales; Bacillaceae.